CCUACGGGAGGCAGCAGUAGGGAAUCUUCCGCAAUGGGCGAAAGCCUGACGGGGCAACGCCGCGUGAGUGAAGAAGGAUUUCGGUUCGCAAAGCUCUGUUGUUAGGGAAGAAUGAUUGUGUAGUAACUAUACACAGUAGAGACGGUACCUAACCAGAAAGCCACGGCUAACUACGUGCCAGCAGCCGCGGUAAUACGUAGGUGGCAAGCGUUGUCCGGAAUUAUUGGGCGUAAAGCGCGCGCAGGUGGUUUAAUAAGUCUGAUGUGAAAGCCCACGGCUCAACCGUGGAGGGUCAUUGGAAACUGUUAAACUUGAGUGCAGGAGAGAAAAGUGGAAUUCCUAGUGUAGCGGUGAAAUGCGUAGAGAUUAGGAGGAACACCAGUGGCGAAGGCGGCUUUUUGGCCUGUAACUGACACUGAGGCGCGAAAGCGUGGGGAGCAAACAGGAUUAGAUACCCUGGUAGUCCACGCCGUAAACGAUGAGUGCUAAGUGUUGGUCUCAUAAGAGAUCAGUGCUGCAGCUAACGCAUUAAGCACUCCGCCUGGGGAGUACGACCGCGAGGUUGAAACUCAAAGGAAUUGACGG
RNAcentral lists this ribosomal RNA (585 nucleotides) under uncultured bacterium. RNAcentral's name for it is "bacterial SSU rRNA". It matches the Rfam family "Bacterial small subunit ribosomal RNA", at positions 338 to 916 of the family's 1533-position model. The record is from RNAcentral.